AUCGUACAAAAAUAAAUAGUUUAUUGUUAAAUUGAAGCACAGUAAAUCACAAACAUGACUCCUAGGGUUGAUAGCGUUAAAAGUUAAAAUAAAAACAAGCAGCGUCAAAUUAAAAAAACAAUCUAUUUAUUUUUCCUUGAUCCUCAAAAGUUUUACGAUUUAUCUAACAUAUGUUGUAUUUUUUAUUAUUUUUUUUUUUUACAAAGAGCCGUUUGAAAUUUUCUGCAUAGGCUACACAUCAAAUGUUUCUCUUGAGAAGUAACACCAUGUUAUCCAGUUAGUAUAAACACAAGUUACACACGAUGAACGUACACUUUGCCAUCACUCGCUUCGUUUGACAUAUACAAGAUACAUAUGCAGAUCUAUUCCUUAUGAAAAUGAGCCGAUUACAAAGUCCAGUCAAUUCGCCUUAUAGGGACAACGUAGGUUCAAUACCGCACAACUCCAACUUACCGAACCUUGUUAUUAAAAAGUUUGACCCGAGGCUUGGCAUAAAUUUAAAACUUCACGAUACCCUGGCGUACGAAAUGGGAAAACGUGAAAGCAGCCCCCAACUUGUCACGAGAAGAGGACAAGUCGUCUACUUGUAUCUAUACUUGGAUCGGGAGUACUCACCCUCAUUAGAUAUCAUGUCGGCGAUUUUUACAUACAAAGAUUGUGAAGACGCAUCUGUCGGACAUUACACACUUUCGGUUAUCCCUUUGAGCUUUAAGAGUUCUGGCUUGAUCGGUAAAUGGGCAGCAUGGAUAGCCGGUUUCAAAGGAACUCGCAUUGAUUUGAGGUUUGUCUCUUCUUUUGAUUGUACCAUUGGCAGAUGGGGCAUCGAGAUAGAUACCAAAGUGAAAGAAAACAACGAAAGGUCAACAUACGCUUUGGACACACUGAUGUAUGUUAUAUUCAACCCUUACGCUCCAGAUGAUGAAGUGAAAAUAGACGACACUCACAUAACAGAAUACGUUACAAAUGAACACGGUCUGAUAUACAGAGGAAACAUGAAACCAAACAACCCCACGUACUGGGUUUAUGGACAAUUCGCCAAAGAUGUUUUGGACUGUGCACUUUAUCUUAUAACAGAUGUUGCCAAGUUGCCUGUGUCUAAAAGGUCUAACGCAGUGGAAAUUACAAGAGCUCUAACAUCGACGAUCAAUGCGAACAAUUGCGACGGAGGAGUUAUGCUUUCGAGUACAACGGGUAAUUUCGAUAAAACGGAAUCUCCGCUGUUAUGGUGUGCCAGCGCUCCGAUACUUCAAGCCUACUAUUCAACGAAAGAACCUCUUAGGUUUGCUAAUUGUCUUGUCCUGGCGGGUGUGCUCACUACUGUUUGCCGAGCACUUGGAAUUGCAGCACGACCUGUAACAUGUUUCAAUUUUGUCCAUGGUAAUGACCUAGGUCUUGUGGUUAACCUUACAUACGACGAGGACCACCGUAAGAGCUUUAAAGGUCACAGUUCGCCCAUUUGGAAUUAUCACGUCUGGACCGAGGUCUGGAUGAAACGUACCGACAUCGGUGAUGAAUAUGACGGUUGGCAAAUUUUAGACCCAACACUCCACGUUCCCGGCACCAGCGUUUUCUCAUACGGCCCGACGUCCGUCAAAGGGAUCCGAAAGGGAAAAUACAAAGCGCCGUACAACGGUACGUUCACAUACUUCGGCAUCAAUUCACAAAUAUUCGUAUGGAAAAAAUCAGGAGGUGAUGAACAUUUGAAGCUCAUCGCGGUUGAUCGAACGACAGUAGGUAGCUACAUAAGCACGAAGGCCGAAGGUUCCUGGCAGAGGGCUGACAUAACCCAAGAGUACAAAGAUCCUAAAGGAAAAGUACCAUGCGAGGAGUGCUACUCGGCGUUGUUGGAUAAAUCAACAGAUUUUUCAAGGUUUUCCCUCGCUGAAGAAUUUAACGAGGUUGGAUUCACACUCACAGCAACCACUGAUGUACCAUUCGGUCAACCUUUUAGCGGCCGGUUGGACCUCGUCAAUAUAAACUCAAGUAAAUCUUUCACUAUUUCCGUAACGCUCACUGUACGGCCCAUUCUAUAUUCAGGAAGAGAAGCGCCUGUUAUUAAAAGUGAAAUAUUUGACGUGAAGCUCGCGAAAAACGAAGGUGUCGAUUUAAUAUUUCAUCAGCGGCAUUUUGCAAGACGAUCGUACCGUAUGAGGAAUACGCGGAGACGGUACUGUCAGAAUUUCUAUUCAAGUGCACUUGCCAGGCGAACGUGAAAGAAACGGAUUUCGACUAUUAUUCCGAGGCCGUUAUUAAGCUGCAAUUACCUAAAAUCACUAUCGAGGUGAAUUCUUCCUUUUAUGUCGACAAGGCGACAACAUGUAUGGCAUCGUUUGUCAACCCACUUCCAAUAGCAAUCACUAAUGGUCUGAUAUUCCUCCAAGGGCCACUAUUCAAAAAGAUCAAGGCGGUCACAGUGGAAGACUGUGCCCCCAAAAAGAAGAUAAUGGUGUUUUUCACCGUCACGCCAGUUAAAGAAGGAGAGUUCAUGCUUCUCGCUAAGUUCAUGUCUGACCAACUCAGUGAGAUUGAGGGAUCUAUAUUAAUAAAAGUUUCAAAACAAGGGUAGGA
Molecule: unclassified non-coding RNA, 2568 nt
Filed under: Cimex lectularius (bed bug)
Lineage: Eukaryota; Metazoa; Arthropoda; Insecta; Hemiptera; Cimicidae
Description: annulin-like, transcript variant X1
Source: RNAcentral